This 468-nucleotide ribosomal RNA is filed under the name uncultured bacterium. RNAcentral describes it as "partial 16S ribosomal RNA". It matches the Rfam family "Bacterial small subunit ribosomal RNA", at positions 28 to 507 of the family's 1533-position model. The record is from RNAcentral.
GACGAACGCUGGCGGCGUGCUUAGCACAUGCAAGUCGAACGGAAAGGCCCUGCUUUUGUGGGGUGCUCGAGUGGCGAACGGGUGAGUAACACGUGAGUAACCUGCCCUUGACUUUGGGAUAACUUCAGGAAACUGGGGCUAAUACCGGAUAGGAGCUCCUGCUGCAUGGUGGGGGUUGGAAAGUUUCGGCGGUUGGGGAUGGACUCGCGGCUUAUCAGCUUGUUGGUGGGGUAGUGGCUUACCAAGGCUUUGACGGGUAGCCGGCCUGAGAGGGUGACCGGCCACAUUGGGACUAAGAUACGGCCCAGACUCCUACGGGAGACAGCAGUGGGGAAUAUUGCACAAUGGGCGGAAGCCUGAUGCAGCAGCGCCGCGUGCGGGAUGACGGCCUUCGGGUUGUAAACCGCUUUCGCCUGUGACGAAGCGUGAGUGACGGUAAUGGGUAAAGAAGCACCGGCUAACUACGUG